RNAcentral lists this transfer RNA (67 nucleotides) under Marmota marmota marmota (Alpine marmot). It matches the Rfam family "tRNA". From Rfam's summary of the family: Transfer RNA (tRNA) molecules are approximately 80 nucleotides in length. RNAcentral also lists the same sequence under 3 other names. Lineage: Eukaryota; Metazoa; Chordata; Mammalia; Rodentia; Sciuridae. The record is from Rfam by way of RNAcentral.
GGAACUGUGGCUCAAUGGUAGAGUGCUCACCUAAUGUGUGAGGCACUGGGUUCGAGUCUCAGCACCA